AGAGGAUGGGCAUGCGGCGCAUUAGCUUGACGGCGGGGUAACGGCCCACCGUGGCGACGAUGCGUAGGGGUUCUGAGAGGAAGGUCCCCCACACUGGUACUGAGACACGGACCAGACUCCUACGGGAGGCAGCAGUGAGGAAUAUUGGUCAAUGGGAGAGAUCCUGAACCAGCCAAGCCGCGUGAGGGAAGACGGCCCUAUGGGUUGUAAACCUCUUUUGUCGGAGAACAAAACCCGGGACGUGUCCCGGACUGCGUGUAUCCGAAGAAAAAGCAUCGGCUAACUCCGUGCCAGCAGCCGCGGUAAUACGGAGGAUGCGAGCGUUAUCCGGAUUUAUUGGGUUUAAAGGGUGCGUAGGCGGUCCGUUAAGUCAGCGGUAAAAUUGCGGGGCUCAACCCCGUCGAGCCGUUGAAACUGGCAGACUUGAGUUGGCGAGAAGUACGCGGAAUGCGCGGUGUAGCGGUGAAAUGCAUAGAUAUCGCGCAGAACUCCGAUUGCGAAGGCAGCGUACCGGCGCCAGACUGACGCUGAGGCACGAAAGCGUGGGGAUCGAACAGGAUUAGAUACCCUGGUAGUCCACGCAGUAAACGAUGAAUGCUGGUUGUCCGGGUCGAAUGAGACCUGG
RNAcentral lists this ribosomal RNA (625 nucleotides) under uncultured bacterium. Its description in RNAcentral is "bacterial SSU rRNA". It matches the Rfam family "Bacterial small subunit ribosomal RNA", at positions 220 to 842 of the family's 1533-position model. The record is from RNAcentral.